GAGAGGCGGAGAAACGAGGUUGCAAAGCAGAUUAAGACCAGCGUUUGAACCGUUUCCUCGGUUUGUCAGUACUAUUAGAAAACUUUCGUAGUGAAGAAGCCUGGAUGUUAAAACAAGCUUUGGAGCUGCUUUUUUUCCCUCAAACACGAGUGAGGAUAGACGCUGAAUACACCUGCGGCGCGAGGGUGUUGUAAUUCUGCUGCUGCUUGGACAGAGACACCGGCAUCACCUUACAGACCAACAGGUGUCACCACUUUGUCCACGACAUCAUACACGAUCAGAGACCUUGUCAAAGAUGAGAGAGACGUUGUCCACGAUCAGAGACAUUGUCCAUGACUUGCAGAGAUGUGCAAAAGUCAGUAAAGAUGGAGUUCCCCAAUUUGACAGCAUCAUCUGCAUUCAGAGAGACAUUGUUGAUGAUCACAGAGACACCGUCCACGAUCACAAAGACAUCGUCUAUGAUUGCAGAGACAUUGUCCAUUAUCAAGGAGAUGUAAUCCACGAUCGCAGAGACAUCGCCCACUAUCACAGAAUGACAUCCUCCACAAUCGCAGAGAAUCUUCAUAAUGUAUAAGUAAUCUGUAGUAAUAAUAAUGUAAAACUAUUUACAUUUACAUUCAGUAUUUUUGAUGGCAUACUAUACAAUGAUAUUUUUGACGCCAUACUAUACUGUGACAUUUUUACCACAUUUUUGACAUCAUAUUAUGACAUUUUACCCACAUUUUUGACACCAUACUACACAAUGAUAUUUUUUGACCAUUCUUCAUGCCUUACUACAUCAUGACUUUACUACAUACCAUGACAUUUUCUGACCAUUUUUGACACCUUGCUAUACCAUGACAUUUUUGAUGCCUUACUAUACUGUGACAUUUUUUGAUGGUUUUUGAUGUGUUUCUAUGACAUUUUAUGAUGGUGUUUGACACCUUACUACACCAUGACACUUUUUGACCAUUUUUGACGCCUUACUACACUGACAUUUUUGAUGAUUUUUGACGCCUUACUAUACUAUGACAUGUUACCCACAUUUUUGACGUCAUACUAUAUCAUGACAUUUUUACCACAUUUUUGACAGUGCACUAUACUAUAAUAAUUUUACAACAUUUUUGACGUCAUACUAUACACCUUACAACAACUUGACAUUUUUUGACCAUUUUUGGCGCCUUACUACUAUGACAUUUUUUGAUGAUUUUUGACGCCUUACUAUACAAUGACAUUUUUUGAUGAUUUUUGACGCCUUACUAUACAAUGACAUUUUAACCACAUUUUUGAUGGCUUACUAUACUAUGACAUUUUACUCACAUUUUUGAUGCCAUACUAUAUGAUGACAUUUUUACCACAUUUGACAGCGUACUAUUAUAUUUUUACCACAUUUUUAGUGCCAUACUAUACUGUGACAUUUUUACCACAUUUUUGACGCCAUACUAUACUAUGACAUUUUACCCACAUUUUUGAUGUCAUACUAUAUUAUGACAUUUUUAUGACAUUUUUUAUGCCAUAGUAUACUGUGACAAUUUUUAUGAUUUUUGACACUUUACUAUGCUAUGACAUUUUUUUGAUGGUUUUUGACACCUUACUACACCAUGACAUUUGUUGACCAUUUUGAUGGCUUACUAUACUUUGACAUUUUUUGAUGAUUGAAUGACAUUUUUUACCACAUUUUUAGUGACAUUUAGUAAGUUGUCAAAAAUGUCAUUGUAUACUGUGUGGUCAAUGUCAGAAAAUAUCAGUGUCUUUCAAAUGUAAGAGGUAAUUUGUAAUAUUACAAGCAAGAAUAUGCAAAGUUGUAUGUAGUAAUAGUGGCAUUUGUUCUUUAGAAAUGUCCCAAGUCUUCAAUAAGCACAUCACUAUAUGUGCUCAUAACUACGUUAAUUGUCGGUUGAGAGAAUAAGUGUCUCCCAGUGUUCAAACAUCUGUCAUUUGCUGUGCUUUGUUGAAUAUUAUCUAGAACAGAAUCAGUAAAGUCUUCUAGCUUAACUUUUGAGUUGGGUUUCUUUAUUUUUAAACUAAUUACACAAAAAUUAUUUUGCAAUGCAGAA
Lates calcarifer (barramundi perch) is the source of this 2036-nucleotide long non-coding RNA. RefSeq lists it as uncharacterized. The transcript is spliced from 3 exons. Lineage: Eukaryota; Metazoa; Chordata; Actinopteri; Centropomidae. The record is from RefSeq and is a predicted model, not a curated record.